Molecule: long non-coding RNA, 944 nt
Organism: Hyaena hyaena (striped hyena)
Lineage: Eukaryota; Metazoa; Chordata; Mammalia; Carnivora; Hyaenidae
Exons: 3
Source: RefSeq, a predicted model, not a curated record
CACCUCCCGACAUCAUCUCCUGAUCCUAGGUGAACGCCCCUAGGGUACCUGCCACAGAGCACACGGGCCUGUCAGCUCCAAGGGUACAGGGGACAAAGCGGCAGCCCCAGCCGCCGGCUACCUCCUCAGUCCUGGACAGCAUCCGCAGACUGUCGGCCAGGUACACGAGCUUCCCCUCGCAGUCGGCCAGCUUGCUGAGCGCGUCAGGGGGCUCGGAGAGCACCACUUCUCUCUGUAGGCCGGCAGAAGGUCUCAUCUCUCCCCUGGCCUCUCCCAGGGGCCCUGCGUGCGGGUGGCUCCGCCCACUGCGGCUGGUACCUGGGCCGUGGGCAGGGCAAUGCCAAUCAGCCGGACAUAGAGGUUGUCAAUGCCCGUCUGGAUGGUCAGCAGCAGCUUCUGGCUCUUGGUCAUGUUGGAGUAGGCCAGCCGGAGCCUUUCUUCCUCCUCUCUCAGCAUGUCCUUCAUCUUCUUCUCAACAGACUUGAAGCUGUUGAGGACGAUGGGGAGGGAGGUGGCACAGAGUCAAGGGCGAGGCGGCCACAGUCCUGAGCUUCUUCAUCAGGGCCUCGAGCUGCGCCCGCCGCUGCUCACAGUCCUCCAUCUGCAGCCCCAGGUUCUCCUCCGUGUUCCUCUGUGCCAGGAGGCGGCCAGCGAUGUCCUGGCCAGGCCAGUGGGGAGAGAAGCGGGUGUGGGCCCGGUAGGCAUGGGCCGCACAGAACAGGCUUCUUCUGGGGUCCCCCCAGCGGUCAGCAACGAUGCUGACUUGCGGCCAGGUCCUGGGUGAAGCCCUUCAUGCACGGCCCCACGUGUUGCUCACACCGCAAGCAGAGCGGGCAGCCACGACAAGAUCAUCACCCCUGAGAAACUGCCAGGGGCUUUGAGCCACUCGUCUAAGGAUGGGAGCUAAGCUUACUAAUAAUAAAGCCAGAUCGGAUUAAACUGAA